AUGCGUCCUGCUGCAGCCAGGGAGCAAGUACUAAGUAAGUCAGCACCCUGGAAAGCCCCUCCCAAGGUGAGAGGCACCCCUGCAACCCUAGGACCAGACUCACCGCCAGAGCUAAGGCUGGGGGGAGCACAGGGGCCACGGGCGGUGGGAGGACGGCAGGGGGCAGGCGCGGCCCCACCCCUUCUGCCUGGCGUCGCAGCAGCAACUCCACCUUUGCCUGCAGCUGAGCCAGCUCCUCUGCAUGCUGCCGGGCUGCCAGUGAUCCUGCAGAACAGCAGCUCGGGCACACUCGGCUGCCACCUCACUGACAAAUGGGCAAUGCUCCAUUUCCCAGUCACCCACCGACAUCAGCUCGCAUCUCCCUCCGAACCUUCAAUGCCAGGAGCUCAUCCUCGAGCCGCUGGUUCUCCAGCUCCACAGCCAUCAGUGCUGCAUCGAGGCCCUGUGCUGUCUCAACAGCAAUGGGGUCCUGUCCCUGGGCUCUGUGAUGGGGCUGGUGCUUACUCAUCUUCUGCACAGCCCUUUUCUCCAGCGCCGUGGCCUCCAGUUGGAGAUCUAGCAGCUGUGCCAGGGUGGCCUCGUCGCAGCCACCAGCACGCAGGUAGGAGAGCUGCAGCGCCCUGCCAUGAUGCUGGCAUGAGCCCUGGCAGCUGGGGCUCUGCUGUGCUCCCGCCCGCCUUCAGCUCUCACCUGGCCUCAGCCGCCAGUGGCCCGGAGGGUGGCAGGAGAGCGUUGAAGUGGAGGGCAGCCCUGGGGAGGAUAUGGGCAAACUGGGGCCCAGCGGGCAAAGGGCCCCUUUCUGGGCACCAUCCAGCAGGGCUCACCCUCGGUACUGGUGCCCAUCUCUGUCUGACUGCACCUCCGCAGCCCAGCUCAUUUCUGGUGACAGAUGCUUGUUGCGCAGCAAUGCCAGGCGCCGGCACAGCUCUGUGGGAUGCACAGCUAGGUCACUCCAGAACCACAACCAUCGCCCCACACCCUGUGCUGGUGCCUACGCUCUCUCUGCUGCUCUAG
Molecule: long non-coding RNA, 1014 nt
Organism: Pavo cristatus (Indian peafowl)
Lineage: Eukaryota; Metazoa; Chordata; Aves; Galliformes; Phasianidae
Source: Ensembl